RNAcentral lists this ribosomal RNA (449 nucleotides) under uncultured bacterium. RNAcentral's name for it is "partial 16S ribosomal RNA". It matches the Rfam family "Bacterial small subunit ribosomal RNA", at positions 29 to 523 of the family's 1533-position model. The record is from RNAcentral.
AGCGAACGCUGGCGGCAGGCCUAACACAUGCAAGUCGAACGAACUCUUCGGAGUUAGUGGCGGACGGGUGAGUAACACGUGGGAACGUGCCUUUAGGUUCGGAAUAACUCAGGGAAACUUGUGCUAAUACCGAAUGUGCCCUUCGGGGGAAAGAUUUAUCGCCUUUAGAGCGGCCCGCGUCUGAUUAGCUAGUUGGUGAGGUAACGGCUCACCAAGGCGACGAUCAGUAGCUGGUCUGAGAGGAUGGCCAGCCACACUGGGACUGAGACACGGCCCAGACUGCGACGGGAGGCAGCAGUGGGGACUCUUGCGCAAUGGGCGAAAGCCUGACGCAGCCAUGCCGCGUGAAUGAUGAAGGUCUUAGGAUUGUAAAAUUCUUUCACCGGGGACGAUAAUGACGGUACCCGGAGAAGAAGCCCCGGCUAACUUCGUGCCAGCCGCCGCCGUAA